CACGUGGGGAACCUGCCCCAUAGUCUGGGAUACCACUUGGAAACAGGUGCUAAUACCGGAUAAGAGAGCGGAUCGCAUGAUCAGCUUUUAAAAGGCGGCGUAAGCUGUCGCUAUGGGAUGGCCCCGCGGUGCAUUAGCUAGUUGGUAAGGUAAAGGCUUACCAAGGCGAUGAUGCAUAGCCGAGUUGAGAGACUGAUCGGCCACAUUGGGACUGAGACACGGCCCAAACUCCUACGGGAGGCAGCAGUA
Molecule: ribosomal RNA, 249 nt
Filed under: uncultured Lactobacillus sp.
Lineage: Bacteria; Bacillati; Bacillota; Bacilli; Lactobacillales; Lactobacillaceae
Description: partial 16S ribosomal RNA
Rfam family: Bacterial small subunit ribosomal RNA
Source: RNAcentral